This 247-nucleotide long non-coding RNA is filed under the name Homo sapiens (human). RNAcentral describes it as "HSALNT0227147". Lineage: Eukaryota; Metazoa; Chordata; Mammalia; Primates; Hominidae. The record is from RNAcentral.
GGAAGGUAGUUGCCUGCUGUGGUCUAAUAUGUGAAUCCCGGCUGGGCGCGGUGGCUCACGCCUGUAAUCCAGCACUUUGGGAGGCUAAGGCGGGUGGAUCACGAGGUCAGGAGAUCGAGACCAUCCUGGCUAACACGGUGAAACCCCAUCUCUACUAAAAAUACAAAAAACUAGCUGGGCGUAGUGGCGGGCGCCUGUAGUCCCAGCUACUUGGGAGGCUGAGGCAGGAGAAUGGCGUGAACUUGGG